UGGCUCUCGUGCCACAACACAC
RNAcentral lists this non-coding RNA (22 nucleotides) under Arabidopsis thaliana (thale cress). Lineage: Eukaryota; Viridiplantae; Streptophyta; Magnoliopsida; Brassicales; Brassicaceae. The record is from RNAcentral.